Molecule: long non-coding RNA, 394 nt
Filed under: Panax ginseng (ginseng)
Lineage: Eukaryota; Viridiplantae; Streptophyta; Magnoliopsida; Apiales; Araliaceae
Description: long non-coding RNA (PGIN_LNC007259)
Source: RNAcentral
UCGGCGCUAACCCUGCCUUCACCCUCACCCUCACCCUCACGUAAUCCCUUCAAGCAAUCCACCGGAAACUGGAACUCCCAGUUUCCCAUCCCACUGCCAAACAUAUUGUGUCAUUUCAUGAUAAAUUACGCCGCCUGUAAUCUCAUCCUUCACAUUACCACCUGAGAAACUUCCUAUAUAUGUACUGCGCGCUAGCUGAUGUAAAUUUGAUUGCCUGCAGUGCCAGAACCACCGUCUAUGUCGUCGAGAUGUCGAUGAAUAAGUUCUCUACAUCGAUGCUAGCUAGCUCUUUCUGUCUGACGGGGUAUUUUGUUGGAAGAUCCGCCAAUAUAUAUAUAUAUAUGAAAUCUGCAUGUGCGUGGCGGUGGCUGCGGUUUGUUUGGUGUAGUCUAGG